This is a small nuclear RNA of Chiloscyllium plagiosum (whitespotted bambooshark), 105 nucleotides long. Lineage: Eukaryota; Metazoa; Chordata; Chondrichthyes; Orectolobiformes; Hemiscylliidae. The record is from RefSeq and is a predicted model, not a curated record.
GUAGUGCUAACAGUUUACCUAAUUAAAAUUGGAACGAGACAGAGAAGAUUGGCAUGCCCCCUGCGCAAAGAUGACGCACAAAUUCAUGAAGCAUUCUAUAUAGGG